UGCAAGUCGAGGGGUAGAGUUCUUCGGAAUUAGAGACCGGCGCACGGGUGCGUAACGCGUAUGCAAUCUACCUUUUACAGAGGGAUAGCCCGGAGAAAUUUGGAUUAAUACCUCAUAGCAUAGCAGCUUCGCAUGAAGCCACUAUUAAAGUCACAACGGUAAAAGAUGAGCAUGCGUCCCAUUAGCUAGUUGGUAAGGUAACGGCUUACCAAGGCUACGAUGGGUAGGGGUCCUGAGAGGGAGAUCCCCCACACUGGUACUGAGACACGGACCAGACUCCUACGGGAGGCAGCAGUGAGGAAUAUUGGACAAUGGGCGCAAGCCUGAUCCAGCCAUGCCGCGUGCAGGAUGACGGUCCUAUGGAUUGUUAAACUGCUUUUAUACAGGAAGAAACAGUUCUACGUGUAGAACCCUUGACGGUACUGUAAGAAUAAGGAUCGGCUAACUCCGUGCCAGCAGCCGCGGUAAUACGGAGGAUCCAAGCGUUAUCCGGAAUCAUUGGGUUUAAAGGGUCCGUAGGCGGUUUAAUAAGUCAGUGGUGAAAGCCCAUCGCUCAACGGUGGAACGGCCAUUGAUACUGUUAAACUUGAAUUAUUAGGAAGUAACUAGAAUAUGUAGUGUAGCGGUGAAAUGCUUAGAGAUUACAUGGAAUACCAAUUGCGAAGGCAGGUUACUACUAAUUGAUUGACGCUGAUGGACGAAAGCGUGGGUAGCGAACAGGAUUAGAUACCCUGGUAGUCCACGCCGUAAACGAUGGAUACUAGCUGUUGGGAGCAAUCUCAGUGGCUAAGCGAAAGUGAUAAGUAUCCCACCUGGGGAGUACGUUCGCAAGAAUGAAACUCAAAGGAAUUGACGGGGGCCCGCACAAGCGGUGGAGCAUGUGGUUUAAUUCGAUGAUACGCGAGGAACCUUACCAAGGCUUAAAUGUAGAUUGACCGGUUUGGAAACAGAUCUUUCGCAAGACAAUUUACAAGGUGCUGCAUGGUUGUCGUCAGCUCGUGCCGUGAGGUGUCAGGUUAAGUCCUAUAACGAGCGCAACCCCUGUUGUUAGUUGCCAGCGAGUCAUGUCGGGAACUCUAACAAGACUGCCAGUGCAAACUGUGAGGAAGGUGGGGAUGACGUCAAAUCAUCACGGCCCUUACGCCUUGGGCUACACACGUGCUACAAUGGCCGGUACAGAGAGCAGCCACUGGGCGACCAGGAGCGAAUCUAUAAAACCGGUCACAGUUCGGAUCGGAGUCUGCAACUCGACUCCGUGAAGCUGGAAUCGCU
RNAcentral lists this ribosomal RNA (1272 nucleotides) under uncultured Bacteroidota bacterium. Its description in RNAcentral is "bacterial SSU rRNA". It matches the Rfam family "Bacterial small subunit ribosomal RNA", at positions 56 to 1336 of the family's 1533-position model. The record is from RNAcentral. Lineage: Bacteria; Pseudomonadati; Bacteroidota.